Molecule: long non-coding RNA, 1381 nt
Filed under: Homo sapiens (human)
Lineage: Eukaryota; Metazoa; Chordata; Mammalia; Primates; Hominidae
Description: HSALNT0349378
Source: RNAcentral
GAAAGACUGGAGUUUCUUCCCCUAAGAAGGAGCCCAGAAUCUAGUGGGAAAGAUGAUGAUGUAAACCACUCAUUAUGACACUGAGAAAAGAUGCCAAGGGUUCUGUGGAACUCAGGAUGUGCACCUGGAUUAACUCAGAAGGAAUUUCCCAGGGUAAAUGGGACAUCGCAGAUUGAUAUCAGCUGGUUCUCUUCAUUGCCUCCUCCAGAAUCUCCAGUUCCCUGAUGAGUUAGAGAUAAACAACUCAUGUGAUGUCAACUAAAAUUUGCUAUCGUUUUCUGGGCUCUGUUGAGUAACCAGCCUCACUUUUUGAUGAGAACCAAGAAACCUGAGCAUUGUAUAAAAAUAAAAUAUAAAUUCCACUGAAAUACAAGCAAGUUAUCCUUCAUUCACAGGCUAAAUUUGCUUUGGACAAGUGAAUGGGUUAAAGUCAAGACUGAAUGACCUGGAAUGCAUCUUUUUGAAGGAAAUGGAGCUGUGCAUGUAGAGGAGAAUGAAAAUAAGGGGAAGUUACAAGACAAAGAAAUCCAAGACUACUGACAGAUCAAGAGGUUUCACAUUUCAGAUCCUUUCAGCAUUCAGCAAAUGCAAUAAAUAUCAGAGGUGGCCUGUGUUGAAUGUAAGAACAGAUGUUGUUUCUGCAGGAAGCAGGAUGGAAACUUACACCCACUGGCUUGCUGCAACUUUGAGGAGACUUUCUUCUAUACCUUCCUCUAAAUGUGACUUGAAACCUUCCGCCGUGAUAUUUUAAUAAACUUUCUAUAUCUUGAUAUUUCCUUUAAGGGUAUCAUUCUUGCCCAAGUUACCACCUUGACAAGAGACUGUCUCCAUAGCCCAUCUGUUAGUUCAAUUAACAGGCUUCUGAGAUUUUUGCUUGGGGACUCAGCAUUUAUAUUUAUAUCUCAUCCUCUAGAGUAAUUCUUGCAAAUAAUCUUUGGGAAUGGUGCCUGCUUCCUGUCUAGAUUUGAAGAUCCUGCUUCUAAUGAAGAAUGUUUUUGCCAGAAAAAAAAAAAAGGACUUUAUAUAUCUCCAUGAUUCCAUUUCUUUCUGGAGUAUGGAUUUAUUUUUUGUGGCCAAAUCACCUUCUGUGAAAUGGAGUAUUUGUAUCCUACUCAUGAGGGCCAGCCUCAAGUUCUCUUGGGAAAACUGAAUUUCACAGCUGGCUGGAAUUGUCACCACAAGUUUUGACUGUUUCUGAAGACAGCAUUAUGGAUGGCUUGCACGCACUGCUUUCUUAAAUGUAAUCUAACAGAGGAGGGGUUCUGUCUCUGUGGUGGGCAAAAGAGAGUGUUUCAGAAAUACAGGUGGAAGGCACUCUUGGUGUCUGUGCUGAGCAGAAAAAUAAAUUCUGGUCUGGUAGACUAAAUCCAACUCAGCUUGA